Gallus gallus (chicken) is the source of this 15238-nucleotide long non-coding RNA. The record is from Ensembl. Lineage: Eukaryota; Metazoa; Chordata; Aves; Galliformes; Phasianidae.
CUUUAUUUUGCUACUCCCUGCUAGGGUGAAAGGUGAGGUGAUCUCUAUCAGAUAAUUGCUGUAUUACGUAAUUAAUUGGGAGAUAAAAACCAGGUUAUCCCAAUUGCUCGGCGUUAGAGCUGAUUUUGCAACCAGUUAAGAACUCGGGGUCUCGACUCUCCAGAUCUCUGCAAGUGUCAGUGGCACACAGUUAUACACAAAAGGAAACUGAGGUUAUUUCAAAUGAGAAUGAGCGCGGUAGGAAGAGGUGGUGAAAGACUUAUUCUCUGAAAGAGUGGUUAAGUAUUGGAACAAACUGCCUAGGGAAAUGGUGGGGAUACCAUCCCUGGAGGUGUUCUAGAACUGUGGAGAUGUGGCACUGAGGGAUGUGGUCAGUGGGCACGGUGGGUUGGGUUGGGGUUGGCGAUCUUAGAGGUCUUUUCCAAGCUUCAUGAUUGUAUGAAACGAGUCCCCUGAUGAUCAGUCAUGGGCUGAGCUUCUCAGCUGCGCUGAUAUUGGAGCAUGUAUGAGGAGUACCCCCAGGAAAUACAGAGUGAGUGUGUUAAAUGGGUUUCCAAUUGGAAGGGAGGGCUGUGAUGGAGGAGGAAGCUCUGGAGGACCUCACCUGCUUCUGUGCACAGUGCUGGUUCCCCAUGGCCAGGAAGAUGAAUUCACUUUAGGAUAAAUGUAAUGACCAGCUAUUACAGUGAUGAGAACAGAGCAAUUUCCUUACUGAGAGAAGAUUAAGAGCAUAUCUACAUCAUCAUAAUGAGAGACAGUCCUGUCUUUGAGUUCAUAGUCCAGUGCAAAGCGUAAUAGUGAAUUUAUAAUGUUGGAGUUGAAUUUGGGAUUUGCCAAAUUCACUGUCCAAAUGAUCAGAUGUACAUUAUAUAGAAACAAUUACGGAUAACUUCGGAGCCAGUCACAAUGCAGACCAGUGUCUGCAAUGCAAAUGUUUUGGGACACACAGCCCACAUAGGUGCUAUUACGUUACUCCAAGAAGGCUGCUUUCCCAGGGAGACAUACUUAAUGAAGAUCUGAUGAUUUUCGUGUUUGGCUAAGCCAAGCUUCUAUCUAUCACACCUUGCUCCUAACAGGCAGGUCUGCUUUACCACAGUUUUUAAACUGGGAGGAGAGGGAGCGCACACAUUUGUUUCUGAACUUCAGGAGUGAGCGGUGUGGGCUCUGCUUCCCCAUCCCUGGCUGCAUGAAUGAGCUGUGUCUGCUUGUUCUGGUCAUAACUUCUGAACUGCUGACCGGGAGCUGCUAAGUGAUGGCAUGUGGCCACUUCUUCGCUGUAAGCUCCCUAAUUUGAGACGUUCCAGCCGGCCAGGUGGCAGGGAGCUGGGACUGCUUUCUGUGGAGCCGUGUUGUUCUUUGUAACCCCCCACGCUUUGCAAAGCUCAGAGCUCCCACUGCUCGUUGUGCAGUGAUGCCCACGUCCCAGCUGAUGCUGGGGUCCUUGAGGGCAUGCUCCCCUUCAUCUUCCUUGUGCUGCAAAAGGUGUUGAAGUCAGAAGCUGAGCUCAGCUUCUUUGCAUUUGAGCAAGUUGCAUUGGGAGCUCCUUUUUCAGAAGAAUGAGCAAAGGCGCAGUGCUUGCAGAGCUGUGUGCUGGAGCCAAGUGUGGAUCCUGCAGUGUCCCUCCUCCAGAAUCCCCCAACCCAUAAGAGUCAUACUGUGGUCUCUGUUCUACAGCUACAGACGUGGGAAUGCCAAAAAGACUGAGCUCCUUGCUGCCUUUCUGUGCCAUGCUGCAUAAUAACACUGCCACUGCGCUUUAGGCUAGCCUCAAUUACCCCUUGUUAUCAGCACGGAGAUCAAAGCACAUCAUUUAAAGAACAAAUGCAGUAAAUACCUUGAAUUUGUGGAUUGACUUUUUUAGAAAAGCAAAUUGUCAGGACAAGCUCGAGCUAAUCCUGUGCAUUUUGCAUAAAGAACUGGAAAGAGAAAGAGACAUAAGUGUUACCCGAGGUGUCAAUUUGCAUGAUGCGGCGUGAUUUUAUGAUGCUGCUGCUGCCUGUUGUGUAAUCCCCAAUUCCAUGCUUUGGAAUUGCUCUGGGAUCUCUGCACAGGCUCAGAAUAGCUUCCUAUCUCUGGGUGCUGCAGGAGCUCUCAGUCCGCUUUUCGUCUUUAAGAGCUUGCUUGGAUCUUAGUGGUGUGUUAUUAUUUCUGCUUCAGGUUUUGGGGAUUUUUUAGCAUCUCCUUGCAAAGGAAAAGCAGAGGCACUGUUGGACCGUCUGCUGAUGGGCUGCGGUUUAUCAGGCCCUUCCUUCUAGAGGGUUGAUUUCACUAUGGAGCAGCUUUGCUCCAUUAAAACGUAUAGAGUAUUUGAAGGAAGGAGUGUUAAUGAAGUGUCAGGAAACUUUAUUGCUGUCUGGAACUGGGGAAGAGGUGGAGUGAGAGGAAGAGAGGAUAACUGGGAAAAAUCCCAUCCAACAGCAAGGCCGUUACCUUCUCUGACACGUACUGGGAGCUGCUGCUGUUAAAGCAUUGGGAAUAAGGUUCAAGGAUACAGCAAAGCACUCAGCAGAUUUUUCCAUUUUUGUAAAGAUUGUUCUGAUUUACCCCCCUCUCCCUUCCCCCCCCCUUUUUUUUUGCUUUGUUUCGAAGCUUUACUCCCUUUGGAGCUUUCUGGAUAGCCUUGGUGCCAGGUGCUGCUCCCCAUCUCAGAGGCUCCAUCCAGCCUGCCCUUGAGAUGCAUGCUUGCAGUUUGGCUUAUUUCUUCCGUACUCUGCCAGUUUGUUUAAUUAAACUGCUCAAUUCUUCUGAAAAUGGGAAAUGGAAUUACCAUAGGAUGCCUGAAUGCUCUUGGUGCGGGGGGGAUGUAGGGGCUUGGAUGGAUAAAUCAAGCUGUUGCAUUUUGGCUGGGGUGGUGGGCCCCUUGGCUGGGGUAGACACUUCGUUUCUUUAUCACAGAGCAUUUAAUAGCAAAAAAAGGAAGCCAGCAGGGAGCUGGGCUGUGGUGGUCCUCAUCUCAAGCCAGAGCUGAGCCGGGGGCACGACUGGGGUGGCAUCUCCUCAUGGCCACCUCCAGUACAGGGAAGCCAAAUGGCAGCAGACACGGGGUCCUUGUUUGCAUCUCCAACGUGCCUAAUAUUUAGCUCCAAUUUUGUCAGCUUGAGCUGCUGCUGUAAGUGUGUAAAUGUCUUCUGGUUUAUUUGGGCAGCAGAUUUGUUUUGCUUUAUUGGCUCAAAAAUAAAUGGUGCAGCCUAUGCUGUUGGUGCCACUAGCCAGGCUGCUUGCUCAACCGCUGGAGAGCUGUAUUCAGUUCUGCAUUGUCAAUUCAAACUGUACUUCAGCUGGUGUGGUUUUGCCUUAUAGACCUUAAUUUAUUGCCCCCCCCCCCCCCCCCAAACAGACUAAUAUUUAUUGCUGUGAUUUUAGGAUUUUAGUUGUUAUUUUCUCUGCCACACAGGCACUCUCUGUGCUUGCUUAAAUUGCUGUGGAUAUUCCUGCCAAAGCUAUUGCAUUAAUACCCAUUUCAUGUUGACAUGUAUACAGAAAUUAUGUAUUUUCAUGAAUUAACAAAAAAGUUCACUGCCCAGCACAUGAUCCAUCUGGUGGCUCCACUCACAGCCCUGGGCAUGGGGAAUCUGCCUGGUCUACAGGCCGACUUGCAUCGUUUCUAGUGGACAGAAAACAAAAAACUGUCUCCAUUGCCAGAAGUCGCACCUCCCUGUUUGUUCUGGGAGUGGCGUUUCCUCUUUAAUCACAUUUAUCCUUGUGUUUGCUUACCUUGGUGUAACUCUCUGUUCCACCAUGGAGAUGGAGAGCGCCCCGGGGGACGUUUCUGGGCUCACUCCAUCACGUGUCACCAGGGCGUAUUUCUGGCAAAAAUUAUACUUCCAAGCAUGACAUUUUUUUAGCUGUACAUUUUAAAAAUCAAUUAUUAUUAUAUCUUUUCCUGUCAUGAAUGGUAAUUUUUACUAUUACUUUGUUUGGCCCUAUGUUGUUGCCUGGGGAUGCCUCUUUGCGCUUGAAAGCAAAGGUUUUCAUUAUUGCUGGUGGAAUCAGUGGCACAGUACUUAUAGGAAUCUCUUCCACACUUCACACCUUCUAUCCAGCUGGGCUCAGCUUUGCUGCUAGCUCUUCUGGUGGCUUUUCUGUACCUGAAAACACCAUAGGAAUGUGUCCUAGGACCAACUUCACACCACUCCACUCUGUAGGACCUCAGGAAGAAGUACCCGAGGCUCUCCGUGCACUUUCCCCACUUGUAAAAUUGUAGUAAACACAUCCAAAUGUCAUUAGUAAGUGUUUCGUGCUCCAAGAAUGAGACUAUUAUGUCAGUGCUUUGCAGUGUCGUUAUUUAUUAUCUCGGAGCUAAUGGGAUGCAAUACAAAGAGUGUGGCGUGAUUUCGGAAGCUGGAGGCGUGCCGUGUUUCCUGAUGACAAUGUGAAUGCUUGUGGCUUUUUGGAGCAGCUCGAGAUGUAGAAUUUGAUGAGGAUCCUUCACUGUUGCUCCCAGCUAGUCUCAUCGGGUGGUCGGUGCUUUGUAUUAGCCUAGAAGGUCACCGGAGGAAUUAGCUGGUGUGAAUUUGUGGCUUCCUCAGUAUUAAGAGAUUGUUGACACGCUGUUGGGAAUAGCAUUUCAGGGGGUGAAUGCGUGAGAAAGGCAGCAGGGAGAUACUCGAGCUACAAGAGCACUGAAGUCCUCAAUGGCUGAUUCACUGGGCUUGCAUUUGAAUCCAGAGGGAAGUAGUGAAUAUCUGAACUCACAUUCUCCCUUCCAUUCUUCCUCCAGCCCUUUCUCAGGGUCAGCACUCAUAUGGUGGAGCAUCCUUAGUGGUGUAGCUGGGCUCUGCAGUCUUGUGCUGGGUUUGGUCUCAUCUCCUGAGCUCUGGGGGAAGCACACAGCCCUGUGCUGACAGCAAAGGGAACACGUUUUGGAUGAUGUUCUGAAGCAAAGACCUGGCUGUCCACAGUCACUGAGGUUUUACCUGAUCCAAAAUCAGGGUUGUGAAUCUGUGUUUGUUAGUCUGAUUCCAGGUUGCCAAGAUAUUUUACAUUUCUAGCUCAAAAAUAUUUCAGAGGUGCACAAAUGGCUGCAUCUCGUGCCUUGAGGUGGAUGCUUUUGGCUUAUCAUCUUCAAAAACUGUCUACUUCUAGAAAGUUUUUAAUGAAGACUUACAUCCCUCCACUCCAUGGCCUUUGCUGGCCACAGGCUGGUCCUGACUUUCAACUCCUUGAAAGGGUAGAUAAUAGCAGGACAAGGGGAAAUGGUUUUAAGUUGAAGGAGGGAAGAUUUAGGUUGGAUGUCAGGGGGAAGUUCUUUACUAUGAGCGUGGUGAGGUGCUGGAACAGCUGCCCAGAGAGGCUGUGGAUGCCCCAUUCAUCCCUGGAUGUGUUGAAGGCGAGGUUGGAUGGGGCCCUGGGCAGAGCCUGGUCGAGUAUUAAAUGUGGAGGUUGGUGGCCCUGCCAAUAGGGAUGAAGCUUCAUGAUCCUUGAGGUCCCUUCCAACCCAGGUCUUUUUGUGAUUGGCUUUGCAAAGUGCAACUUUUCAGCCCAUUUUGGGGCACGCUUUGAGUGAAAGCCCCCUCCAGUAUGACACUGCUUGCAGCUGUUGGCCACGUGGUUGAGGAGCGCUUUGAGCCCUAAAAACCAUUCUUCUAAUGGGAAAACAGCAAGGAAAGCAUUUAUGAGUCAGAAAGAUGCCCCUACCCAAACUGGUGUCGUUUGACCUCAGUCUGUCUGUAUCUUUGGAAAAGCUGUAGGCUUCCAUGAUUCCUAUAGUGUUAGAUACCAACCCAGGAGCAUUUCCCAUAUCCCACAGCAUCUCCACUCCUCCCCGGGCUGCCCUGUGAGGCAUCUUCACUCCUGCUCUCAGCCAAGGUCAGAGCAAAAUGAUUGGGAAGGUUAAAAUGAAGUAAGAGCAGGUAAUGGAAUAGGGCUUGGUCAAAAUGUUGAGAUGGUUGCCCUAAACUUGGCAACAGGCCUUUAAUAAACAAACUGAGAUAGUAACAGAACGUGCUCGUUGUAUUUUCACAAGCGAAUAAAAUAUUUUGUUGCAGAAAUUGGCUGGUUUGAGGGCUUGGUGGAAGGGUCUGUAAUUGCUGGUUGGCCAACCGGGUAAACAGCGCCCUGUGCGCUGCUGUAAUUGAGGCUGUGUGGGUCAGGCUGUUUAAUUGCUGUCUGCCUGCUUGGAAUAGAAACCUCUCCACAGCCACGGGCACCGCGUCUGAUUGAGUAAACAAGCUGCCUGUCAGCGAGGCGAGGGAGCAGCUCUGGUCCCCUCUCCAGAAAUGUAGGUCCAAAGGGCCCUUGCUCAAGGGCUGCGUCACCAAUCGUGCUUGUGCUGGAAGAUGACAUUAGCAAGCAAGGAGGAUGGAGGCAGAUAAGAAAUGAGGGGUCCCGUGGCUCAUCCUGAGCGUCUCCUCCGUUGCAGCAUCACUUGGAGCACUCAUGCCCUCCCUGGAUGCUGUCUCCUCGUUUCCCUGGUGCUCCUCAGGCAAGCAGCACUCACACUGUGCUUCUGACAUACGGACUCCAUUGUGCUGCAGAAGGCCAAUGAAAGUUAAUAUUUUCCUACUGAGAUUCCAGACAGGAUUUCACAGAGCUAUCAGCCCAUGCGUGGCGCUGGGCUCAUGGCGGCUGCCUGCCUGCAGGCUCUGCACGGCUCCUGGCUGUGCUGUCGUUGGGAAAGGUGGUAAAUCUGUAAAUAAUAAUAAUAAAAGCAGACAGCAGGAUGUAUCCGGACUUCCUUUUCCCGUCUACUGGAGACUGUUUGCAAUACCCACUUGGUUCUUCGUAUCUCCCUCUCACUUGCGUCUUUUUAUGGUACAUCUCCACAUUGUCUCCUAAACUUGCUGUUCCCUGAAGCCACGCUUCCCUGUGGGUGCUGUGUGGGAAAAGCAAAUUGAAAGAAUCUGGAACGAUGAAGUCACCGAGCCACCGCGGAGGAUGGGGCAGAAGCAGCGUUUCCUUGUCCUGUAACCCGCGUGCACUCCGUGCUUUGAUGGCUCCGGCUCCCAGCGCCUCACAGCCAGCCUCACCAGUGUGGUCUGGCUGCUCUGCAGGGCUGCAUGCAGAGGAUUCCAACCCCGCUGGCUGGGUCGGACUGGUGAUGCUGCUUUUUGGACCGCACGCUUUUUGGAGGGGAGGCGUCCUGUUUGUGUUGUGCACACACUUCUCUGACAGUGACAUACGAGAUUAUGGAGCGUGGCUGAUGUUCAAGAUUCCUUCUAACUCGUGAGCUGAGGAUUCCUGUUUAGAAACGCUGUGCAGUGGCUGCAAGAAGAGAAACAAAACAACCCAACCGUUUGCCAUCUUAAAUAUUGCAAACUCCGGUGAGGUGGUGUGAGGUUGUGUGCCUCCAGCUUGGAUUCUGCUGCCCUGUGUUGCUUUCCAAGAAGGUGCUGUUUAUCACAGCCUCGGCUCAUUUGAAUAGCACAGGGUCUUUGAGAGCAAGCUAUCUCCUUCUUUAUCAUCGAAACUGCAAAAUUACUCGGCAGCUCAAACUUGUGGGCUCAAAAACCCAUCCAGCAGAGAAUGAAAAUUUUCCAGGUGAGGAAUAGUGGCUGCUUGUUUUCUCCCCUCCCUUGGAUGGGUUUGUGUCUGGGCAUGAUUUCAGCCCUUCCUUCCUAUUCAGCGGCCCAAACAUUGAAGUGGGUGUGAAACCUGCGAGUGAGGAAGGGAAGUAGCAAGCAACGGGUGUGUGACACUGCUUGGAGGGGGCCUAGAAGAGCUGCCCUUGGGAUGAGCUCCUGGGGGCAGCAGGAGGAAGAGAAGGGGAGGAGGAGGAAGAGCAUUUUCACAGGCAUCCAGGUGGAUGGGUAGGUCAGGGCUUCGCUUCAGUUUGUGAUGGGAAUAAGCAAGACUGGUGAAGCCACUCUGGGCUUUUAUGGGGAUGGUGCUGGGUGUUCCCUGCCCCAAACUGCUCUCUGUGGGCUGUGUUUGGGUGGAAUAUUGCAAAGGGCUCUGCAGUCCUGUGGAAGGAUAAGGGCUGUGCCUAGGGUUUGGGAAUGAGCAGCAUGAAGGUGCAUCCUUGAUCUCCCAGAUUAUGGUUGAUGGAUGUUCCUGAAAGGUAUAGGAGAAGGUUCCAGAAACCAAAGAAUGCCCUGCAGUCCCUACCCUAUCAGUAGUCUCAUGUGAUAUUUGAUGUGCUUUUUAAUGUGCAAAAGGAAUUAAUUUCACCUGGCUGGGACCUCUGGAUUUCAGGUGGCUGAAGUCAGACAUACUGACAUCCGAGGGCAGCGUGCCCUCCUCCCAGUGGUUGCAGCCAGCAGAAUUAGGUGUCUUCAUGGCAGUGAGCAAGGAAAAAGCAUUCCCAGAUAUUAAUGAAUGCCAGAUUUGCCAAAUGAAUGAGCAGGAUUUUUGUUCCUUGGUGAGAAGAGGAAACAACCAUGGUCUUUCUCAGACCAAACCCAACAUUUUAAUGCUCCUCAUCACGUGGAGUGCUCAGCUCUUGGGAAACAAGGGAAAAAAUCUGAGAUCUGAGCCACUGGGUUUUGCUCAUUGUUAUGUUCUGUUGCUGGUCCUUUGUUUGAUCCUGAUGGCAUGGUUUCCUGUUUGGUGUGGGGUGGGUGGGUGCUCCGUACCUGAGCUGUGCCCGGGGAUGAUGCAGGAUGGCAGCACUGCAUCAUCAUUUUUGCAUCACACGAGUUCUGCAAGCUCUUUAAAACACAACUCAAGUUGUGUGCUAUGGAAUGUUGUAUCAGAGGCCACCUGCGGCCAGGGCAGAUGCAUCAGUAGUAUUUUCUGUCUUAAUGCUGUGUGUUCUGAUUUGCAUUUAUUUAAUGGAACUUCAUGCUGCCCUGAUCCUGCAGCAUAUUGCUAGCCCUAUGGAGGGAUGUUAAUGCAAGCUUUUCCCUGGAGGUGUUCAAGGCCAGCUUGGAUGGGGCCCUGGGCUCUAGUGCCUAAUCUCAUGGGUGACAGUCCUGCCCGUAUAAUGGGGUUGGAACUAGGUGAUCUUUGAGGUCCCUUCCAACCCAAGCUGUUCUAUGAUUCAGGCACUGUGAUUCAUGGCUUUAAGCUGGCUUAGAGGAAACACGUAGUGCUCGUUUUCUCUCAUGCUUCUGGUCGGAGCUGCUGAAGGCUGCGUGGCUGAAGUUUUGUGACUCUCCCUGGGAGAGGGGCUGGUCGAGCAGUGCCUGAUGUCUUUUUGCCUCACCUUGAGGGCAGCUCAGGGGAACUGUGCUGCUGUGUAUGUGACAACACGUGGGUCAAGCGGUCUAUUCUAAUGUUUAGCAUCAGAGCUAGGCAGUUAUCAAGCUGGUGGUGUUGACCUGUGCCCCUGGAAGGUAGAGAUAAAUGCCUGGUCUUCCAUUUAACCUAUUGCCAGUUCCCUUCCCAUGCUGGGGGUGCUGGAUGUGGGACACAUGAGAGCAUCCUGCUGCCUCCUCCCCACCAAACCACAGCCAUGUCACUGCGCUGCUGCCUUCCCAUCGCAGCUCCUGAAACCCAAACCCUUCGCUUUGAUUACAGAAACAGUUUGAAAUUUGGCCCUGUUUGACAGAGAUGCUAAGGCUGACUUGUGUCUGCAGAGGAAUGGGGAGGGAUUAGGAUUUGUUGGGAAAAUGCUUUUGCUUUCAGCUUAUUUUUCUUCCUGAGUAAAUAAAUAUCGUAGUAGUGUUAGCAGAUGGGGAUUGCAGAGAGGAGACUAAAAGCCCAGAAAGAAAGCAUGGUUUCUCCUAAUCUUUUUAUUAGGCCAUGACAAUGUAUAGAAUACCUAUAUUGUGCAUACAGCACGUGUCCUUAUAGGGCCGUUACAAUUGAUUUUGCACCGUUGUUAAGCUGUCACUUUGUUUUCUCCUUGAUUAAAGCUGUUUGUUGCUGUACUCUGCAAGAUUCUUGGUGGCAGAGUGUACAGCUAUGGCUCUGAACACAGCAUGGGACACGGGCUCUGCUGUCUGCUGAUGCAGUGAUGCUCAGCACCACCUUCUUGCUCAGACUCUGCUUUGAAUUCCCAUCCUGGUUGUCUCUGGUGGCUUUGCAAAUCAGUUUUUGCACCUCCUGGCAGAAUCACGUGUAUGUCAUUCCCAUCUAUUCCCAUCAAGAAGACUGUGUCCUGGGAGCCCUCUCCUCUCAUUCUUUUAUCACUGGGAAGCUAUUAAGCUAAAAUAGGGUUAUUGCUUCUUAGCAAUUUGUCACCUCUGCCUGUUCCUGCAUAGUUUUCAACCUUUGUUCAAGAUGCAGUAAUUGGUGCAAAUAGGAAAUAGCCCAAAGGAAUAGGAGAUUGAAUUUCAUCUGAAUUGUUCAUGUUUUCUGUAAAGCCAGCUAUGUUGAAUGAUGACUAAAUCGGGAUUAGUAUUUGUAUUUAUGAGACUCAGCAUUUCUUCAUUGAAGGCUGUGUCAUAGAAAACCUUGAACACUCCGGAUGGGAAACACCUCUAAAAUUGUGCUUAUUCAUCUCAUUAAAUCUCCACGUGCACACGAUGGGUGUUUUGCUGGUCCAUCAGAAUUUAUAUGGUUAGUUUCACAACUCCAUCAGAUACUUUUUAUCGCACAGCUCAUUACAUUUAAUGUAGUUCUGUGGGAAGGCAGGAGAUGUAAACUCCAGCAGGCUGUUUGAUAUCAAAAUUAGGUGAGACCAUCUACUUUCCCUGCCUGUUGAUACUUUAAGGUUUCCUGACAGAUAGUUCUCAUUUUCUGUCUGAACAGGGCCAAAAUAAUUUUUCUUUUCUAGGACAGUUAAUUUACUGCAUCUGUAAUCAAAGUAAAUUGAAUGGACUAAAUUCUACCCUAAGACUGGUUUUAUACUCUACCAAGAAAAGUCUUGCUCUUCACCCAUUUUCCAAACACACACGUGUUGCUGAUUCAUAGAUCACAAUACUUGUUAAAUUAAUGACUACUUUCAGGAGGUUUUGAUUUUAAUCUGUGUAGGUGGUCCAGAAAUUGCUUCUCAUCGUUAGGUACUCAUUAACUUUGCACAUCUCCCUUACUGUGUGUGAUGGACACACAAAGCUUCUCAUUAGGUUCAGCAACGUGCCUCCUACUUCUGGGUUGACCUGAUGAACAUGUGCUCUUGAAGCACAGGUCUGAGCCUUUUUGGAGUGUCUGAGACAGGAGGAGCCCUUCUGUAAUGAGUGGUAUUGCUUCAACUCAAGGAGAUCUCCCACUACGUUGCUUUGUGCAGGUGCAUUCGUGGUAUCAGUGGGCAGGGUUUGCCCUACCCAUGCUGUACCAUCAGGGCUCUGGAGAUCUCAGACUUGGGAUGCCUCUUGUUUGUGUUUCAGCUCUUGGUCACAUCUGUCUCUUCCCACUGGGAGUAUUUCUGAGCCAGCAAACUUCUUGGGAACACAUUGUCAUGGAGCUAUCCUGUCUGGUAUCUCUGGUGCUUUGGUAAUGUGAGCGUUAAUUAAUUCUGCAAACACAGUCAUUAGCUCUUUGUCUGGCUGCCCUAAUCUGUCCCUAGUAAUAACCAGAGAAACUGCUCAGUGCUGCCUGGUUUCUUCUCCUGCCCUUUCUUUCCCAUGCCCAAGGUAGGUUUAUGAAGACCUUUACAGACUUUGCACUUUGAGUCUUUCUCUCUGUUUUUUCCAUUUUUUCCCCUAUGCUCCUCAUACCACCUCAGCUCUAACAGGCUUGGAGGUGCAUUUUGUGAGGCAGGCACAGAUGGCCUCCUCAGAGCGGAUCCCUCCAGGCCCGUUGGGUGCCGGUGCUGCGCAUCUGCUCCACCAAACACAGCAGAGCUGUGGGGAGCUCCCCCAUUGGCAGGGGAUGGUGCAGCCCUUUAUCCUUCUCCAUACACCAUUUCUUGAGGGCCACCAGAAAAAAUCCCCAGACCCAAUAUGGGAUUGCCCCUCCUGGGCUGCCUCGAGGUGUUUCCAUGUUGAGAUCAACGCUCGGUGCAGAUCUCAGCUGCCUGCAGCGCUGUAAUAACACUUAUCUUCUCCGUGAUGUAUUGCAGUGCUGAUUUUAUUCCUUCCUGAUCUUUUUGGUGCAUUGUGCAUGUUUUGUUGCCUGCCAACUGUAUUCUGAGCCUCAGAUCCCUUGGGUGGCCCAUUGAGGCCCUCCCAUGCCUGCUUUGAUAUCCCAUGUUUAUCUGAUGGAAAUGAGCCCUUCCGAGAUGGCCCGCUUCACUUUCUUGCCAUGUUUCCCAGCUGUCUUUCUGGACUACUUUUAUAUCCCAUUGCCCCUGGGGCUGUUCAAAGGCUUCUUUGGAGCCUGAAAUCCCUGCGUGUCUCUGAGCUGAGGAAGCCAGGAGAGCAUAUCGGGUGAGUCAUUAGGAUUUACUCUGAAUUUUGACGCCCUGUGUGUUUUCUCUCAUGCUGGCCUUGUAUGUAACACAACCCGGAGUACUCCAGGCCAGCACUGUGUUUUUCUUUUUUCUUUUCCUUUUCCUUUGUUUGUGUUAUGCUUGAUUUGAUAUUCAGACCUCACUCAGUUCUCUUUGGCCGCCUCUUCUGAAUAAGAAGAAUUGUUUCAAGGACCUUGUGGCUCUGGGUUUUUCAGGUAAAUACAUCUCUUUCCUCGUUUAGAAAGGGUAGUUUGAACUUAAAUCAUAAAUGAAGAUAUCUGUUUGAUAAGUGGUAACAAAGGAAAGGCUUGGUAGUCAUGUGAAUAGCCCAGCUGGUCUCAACAUUAUUUUCUCGAUAAAGUUCUGUGGUUUUGAAUGUGUGCUGUUUUUACAGAAAUAAAUUUGAGUUCUAUCACUUAAAACCACGAUAAAUUGGAAUAGAGAUGUCUACUGUAUGGCAGCUUUUAGAUAUCAGAGGAAGCUUAGCAGAAAACCAUGCUUUUUGUGUUAAGGAUGCUUCAGUUGUUUCUGCUGGUCAGGGGGUGGAUUGUGGAUUUGACCCCACUUUUGGAUGCAGAUUCUCCCUGAUGUCUGUUGGCAUCACUUCAUCCACCUCCCUGGGAUUGACUCUGAUGUUUCUUCACAGCUUCUGCUUGGUUUUUAAAGGUGGCUUUGCAGAGGAAAUCUUUCUGUGUGACUUCUGAGAUACUUCACUUCGUGAUGGACAGCGUGAGAUUCUAGAUGUCCUCAUCUGGAAAACCUUCAGUUAUCAGUGACAAAUUCAAAUGUUCUUUUUUUUCCAACCUAGAAAUACCUCAUUUAAAAGGGCAGACUUUUUUGGGGUGUGUCUCAACACCUUGACUUUGUGGUAGUUUGUGGGUGACAAGAGUAAGGGAAAGUUAAGCAAGCCAAUAGAACGUUGGUUUGGAUCUUUGUGCAUCGGUGGGCUGGGUUGGAGAUGCCCAGGAAGGAGGUGAUGGAGAAGUGGCUGGAAGAAGAGGCAGGAAGGCUGGUGUUGUCACAGAGGUUGGGUUGUGGUAGCAGCAUGGUAAGUGCUUGAAUGCAGUGAAGCAGCAGAGCUGCUGACUUGCCCUUUGUCCUUCCUCUUGUGGGUUCCUAUCAAGAACGUGUUGAACAACCUGCAGUUUCAGAGCAAAGCUUCCUCAUACAUUUGUUUUCUGUGCUGUUUUAAUGGCCACAAUAAGAGGAAGAGCUCGGUGAGCAGGGCAUGAGGUGAAUGUGGUAAGGUUGACUGCUGGUGGAGAGCAUCUCAUGUCAGCUGCUAUGCAUGAGCUUCUUUAUGCAACCUGCACUGCAGUGUCCUUCUCUGCUAUAGAACAAAGUUGUUAGAGGAGAAGGGUGUCUGCAUGCAGAGUGAACGCCACGUCCUGCUGUGUUGUGCUAACCUCAUGUACAACUAAUGUGUAUGCUCCCUGCUUCCUCACCCCUUCUGUCUGUCGUGCUUCAAUCAGUGUUCAACCCAAAGCAAUGGUCUUCAUCCAGAUAAGCUUUGAUCAGGUUGGUGCACAUGGUGCAUCUAUUCCCAAGCCACAGGAAAACGAAACAAAUGAAAUCACAAAACCAGAAGAAAAGAGGGCAGCCUUCCCUUGGGGCAGAUUCCCCCAACCUUUUCCAAGCAGGAGAACCAUCGCUCUGCAUGUUGGGUGUGAGUUUGAGCUGAUACCCCACAGUAGUGCCAAGGGGGUCAGGAAGGCAAGAGCUCCCUGUCUGAAUUCAGCUCAAUGGGAAGCAAAUGAAAUGAAACAGAAAAUUCAACGGCGUUAAAGAAAUUUGAAGUUAUUGGCCUUUCCCUGUGCUUUUGUAGGAAAAAAGUUUUCAUGUAUGGCCCCGAUUGAAACUGUAUUUGAUCGCAGUGGUGUGGAUUUUCCAUUGGACGUCUGACAGGGCUGAAGGAACCAACCUACUUGUUGAAAGGGAUGAGCAGAUCUUCCCAGACACUUCGUCCCGAGAUAUGCAAGAAGGAUUUUUAUUUUUUUGGAGCUUUUCUUAAACCAGCAUGCAGAACAGGCAUCUGCAUUUCAUCUAGAGUAUCGUCCAUUUGUUUGGAGAAUGCGGUAUGGCUGAAAGUCCAAGUUUUCUUUGGAUCAGGCCUUUAAGAUUUGGUUUGAUUUAUUUCCAGUGACGCUACUGAAAUGCAGCUUCCUUCUCUUUCUUUUUUUUUUUUUCCAUCUCUGCCGACCUGCUAAGUUAAAAUAAACGUUAGGUUUUGAUGUAUUUCUUUAUUUAUUUUAGUUACCGCAGAGGCAAGAACGUGGAGUGAGAGACUUGGAUGAAAGGCAGGGAGCAGCGGAUUAGCUAGGAGAGGUGCCAGGCUCAGGUGCCCUUGUAGCUUGGGAUGUUGGAGCUGUGUUUUUAGGCUGAUUUUUUUUGUGUUCAUCUUAAAGUCCCAAGCAAAGUGGGUUUUGUGAUGGCUGUUUUUCCAUCUGCACUGCUCGGGGAAGUGGUACAAGGCCAUGGUGGUGAAAUGAGACCCAUUGGCACUGUGGUGAACCCAAUGUGCAGUCCAAGAAGUGAUGGGCUUGCUGAGCAUAGAUGUGAUUUUUCUAUCAAGUGUGUUGCUAGCAUGGGCAGGAUCAGUGCUUUAUGCAUUGCCCACAUUUAAUUAAAUGGUAUGCAUUUAAUAUAUAUUGCAUAAAUCUAAUCUGUUUCCAGUUUUGCUCAUUUCUUGCCUGAGGUGUUUAGUUGUUUCUAAGCCUGGUUGUUGUGCAGUGUUCCCUCACAAAGCACACAGAGAUAAGGCAGCCUGGAUGCUGUGGUUUUAAGGAACUUGACCAAAUUCAUGCACAGAAUUUGGUUCCUAUGCUGGGAAUGUCACCCAGCCCACACUCCCAGCCCUUGCAGUCACUAUGAACAAUUGGGAGCCUAUCCAUUGCGAUGAACAAAGAUGACCCAUUUUGUCCUCUAAGCUGCCUUGCUUUAAAUAAGGAAAAAAAGCCACCGCUAUUGUAUGCUCGUGAGCUGUGAUUGCAUGCUUGUGGGCCGGACUGCCCUUGCAGCAGGGAAAUCCUGCAUCCCUGAGGAUGCUCAGCCUUGUUCCUGCCUUUGGGUUCCCAGGGAUGCUGG